CGAUGCACUAUAUAUCUAUAUAUAUAUAUAUAUCUAUAUAAUAAGGGAGAAUGGUUUUUGAAAUUGAGAGACAAAUGUGAGGGGGAUAUUUUUUGGAUGAUUGAGAUUAAUUUUUAAAAAGUUCAAUGGCUGAGAUCAGUUUUUAGAAUAUAAUUUUCCCCCUCAAAACCAUCACAUCCCUGCUCACACACGCACACAGAGCCACUCAUUGCCCAACCCUCUCUUCCUUCUUUCCCUCUCACACUCCAUCUCUGCCCAAUCACUCUCUCUCCCUCUCUCUCUCUCUUUCAGUCACCCACCCAUCCACGCCAUCGUCUCCCCCCCUAUCACCCCACUUGCAAUCGCUCAAUCGACGUUGCCCCCCCACCGCACAGCUUUCGCCUCUUGCUUCGGCCACAGCCAUAUUCGCCAACGGCUGCUCUGCCAUCACUGUCGUUCGUGCUUGCUGUCAUCACCGUCGCGGCCGCUUACUUCCAGCGCGACCAUGUUCCGCUGCUGAUGGCCAUCCCCAUCGUCGUCCCGAUCCGCCAGCAUCCCUGACUCGCGAGCCCCGCCAUCGUCGCCGCCCCUUCCACCGUUUGCCGCAACCCCCUCGGUGGAUCGAUGGACAGAACAAUGGAAGGAAGGAAGAAAACAAGAGGGAGAUCAGGGGGUAUGAAUUCGGGAAGAAGAACGCACCACUGUGCGUCACACGCACAACGCGCAUCAAAUUAACGCAAGUAAGAGAGAGUCGUAUCUGCACACAGCGCACUUCUGAAAUUGGAGGAGGAAGAAGACGCGCACUAUGCGCUUUUUCUUAAUCUUCACGUGCUGCCUUACUUCAUUAUAUACAUAGAUUAUUAUAUACAUACAUACAUAACGGCAGAUUCCUCCAAUGUAAUCGAGAAUGAAUUGUGGGUUUUUCUUGACUUGGGGAUUUCUUUGAUCUGUGCGUUAAUUAUGGGUUUUGAUGAUUAUGUUGUUGGGUUUUCCUUGAUCUGUGAGUUAAUUGUGCGGGUUUGUUUGUAAGUUUGUUGUGUUUGUUUGCCGAGAAAAUGUGAGGAAAGGCUUGGUGGAAACAGAAAUUGGAGGAAAAGCGAUUGAAUGUUAGGAUUUGGAUGUUUCUUUACAUGAUUCUUUUGGAGCCCAGAGUGGUAAUUUGAGUUAUGUUGGGCUUUUUCAAGAAUGAAUUUGUUUUUUAAUCUUCUCUGAUUAA
Molecule: long non-coding RNA, 1195 nt
Organism: Diospyros lotus (date-plum)
Lineage: Eukaryota; Viridiplantae; Streptophyta; Magnoliopsida; Ericales; Ebenaceae
Exons: 2
Source: RefSeq, a predicted model, not a curated record